RNAcentral lists this RNase P RNA (342 nucleotides) under Candidatus Bathyarchaeota archaeon. Its description in RNAcentral is "RNase P RNA component". It matches the Rfam family "Archaeal RNase P". Rfam says of the family: Ribonuclease P (RNase P) is a ubiquitous endoribonuclease, found in archaea, bacteria and eukarya as well as chloroplasts and mitochondria. Lineage: Archaea; Thermoproteati; Candidatus Bathyarchaeota. RNAcentral also lists the same sequence under 2 other names. The record is from RNAcentral.
GCAAGUGGGCGAGCGGGCUUCGGGCAUCUUCGGAAACGGGAUGCCUGAGGAAGCUCACCCCCAUGCGGAGCCAUAGCCCCGUGAGGGGCAGGGCGAGAGCCCUGGCUCUGGCAUAGAAACGAGACCUCUCCCAGCUGGAUGAGGAGGAGGCGGCUGAGGCUUCUAGGCCGAGAAGAUGCCCAGCAAUGGGCAUCGAGAUAACCCGUCGACGAGGCUGGGAGAAUGGAUGCAACGGCCAGCCUAUGGGGGUAAGGCCAAGUAUGGCCUAUGAGGACCGCAUGAGGCCGGGUAGGCCGCUUAGCUGAAUCCCGCAGAAACAGAAGGUGAGCUACGCCCACAUGC